GCCUGGUUAGCUCAGUUGGUAGAGCGCCAGUCUGCUGUGCGGGAGGUCGAGGGUUCGAGCCCCAGACCGGACC
This 73-nucleotide transfer RNA is filed under the name Pocillopora damicornis (cauliflower coral). RNAcentral describes it as "tRNA-Ser". It matches the Rfam family "tRNA". Rfam says of the family: Transfer RNA (tRNA) molecules are approximately 80 nucleotides in length. The record is from Rfam by way of RNAcentral. Lineage: Eukaryota; Metazoa; Cnidaria; Anthozoa; Scleractinia; Pocilloporidae.